CAGAUAAACUGGUUCAGGUAUGCUGUGCACAAUUCCCGAAAAAAACGACGAUGAAGAUUAAUCCACAGAGUAAAUCCGUAUUAUGGAAAUGUUUUAUAAUCAUGUUUGGAAAAGUUGUCGGAAGUUUGGUGAUGGUGACGUUGAAGUCGCGCGACCGUGGUGUAAUUAGUUGAUAGCAUAGGGUUAGUUUUUUUUUUUUAUUAUUUCUGGCGACUGUAUUUAGGCUUCAGAUUUCAUAAAGGUUGUGUUAAUUUAUGAAAAUUAACUUGAUGGACAAAAUGUGUUAGUAUUGUAAACGUUUGUUGACCACAGAGGUUUUUAUUUUUUGAUCAUCCAAAAGCCUAUGUGAAAAUCCUUUUUACUUUUUUUUUUUUUUUUUUAAUUAUUACUAUUAUUAAUGCAAGUUACAUACAAUUAAUUGAUAAUGAAAGUAAAGCAUCAUUUAUACAUAUAUGCAUAUACAUUAAAAAAAACAGAAAACUUUACUGAAAUAAAUUAAAAGGUGAAAUAACUUUAUUGUCUUAAGAGCUUUAAGAUUCUUAGAUGAUGAAAUAUUUUGGAUGUACUGUUGGACCGCUCUUCUAAAAACAAUGAAUAAGGGAUUUUGAUGAGUGAAUUUACUGCCGUGAAUGUGGAAAUUUGCAAGGAGCAAUAAAAGAUUAAUAAUAAAGUAUUCAUUAAAUUGAGCUUUUUGUACAUUACAGAAGCCAAACAGUACAUCGAAAAAAUCCUAUUGGGUUUUGUCAAGGGAAACAGUGUGAUAACUUCCAGGUUACAGUACAAAAUGGCGUCAUCACUGCACCGCUCUAUGAAGGGGGCGAAAGUAACGGCCAUAUAGAACGCACGUCAUUUUUCCAAGCUGAAGCUGGAGUUGUUUAAUUACUGACACUGGUGUAAACAAGAAUUCUGAUUUUCAUCACUUCAGUUUGAACGACUCUGUUAAAUGGCUGCCGUUGGCGGUCUCCCUCUGCAACGCGCCCUGAUUGGAGGUGAAACAGUGGGAAGGGCUGCACUUUGGGGCAGGGGAAACAUGUAUCAAUGCCUAACCCUAACCAGGAGCCCUAAUAGGUGUGUUCAACUUGGGCUGCGGCUGGAUGUAACCGAUCAGUGAGAGAUGCCGCUUGCAGUCGGAGUCGUCAAGUCGGACACUUUCUGCUUCCCGUAGUGACUCUUGCGCAGUGUUUGCUUUCUUUGGACUAAAUGUAAAAUUUCUCAAAUAAACAGACGUCUAAAUUUUACAUGUAGCAACCAGAAACCCUUUUCACUGAAUGGGUUAAUAUUUUUUCUGGGUUCUAUAUUUUUUAUCAGUUUUAUUUUUAUUAAAAAUUACACUAUAACAUUAAGGAUACAUGAAAAGGGUUUUUACUGAUAGAAAAAUAUGGAUUUGUGAGCCUUAGCGGAACUGAAGGUGUCAGAAUAAACACGAAAAGCAUGUCAUCGUUGUCGUCGGUGAGUCUGGCCAAUCGUGAAAUAGUUUUGUCAUUAUCAGAGCUAAUGCAGCCGCUCUGGAGAAGCUGCUCUCGUAUUGCUAUCGCGGUACUUUGAG
Ictalurus punctatus (channel catfish) is the source of this 1546-nucleotide long non-coding RNA. NCBI's taxonomy places the organism in Eukaryota, Metazoa, Chordata, Actinopteri, Siluriformes, Ictaluridae. The record is from Ensembl.